Molecule: ribosomal RNA, 459 nt
Filed under: uncultured beta proteobacterium
Lineage: Bacteria; Pseudomonadati; Pseudomonadota; Betaproteobacteria
Description: bacterial SSU rRNA
Rfam family: Bacterial small subunit ribosomal RNA
Source: RNAcentral
ACGGAAGGCAGCAGUGGGGAAUUUUGGACAAUGGGGGCAACCCUGAUCCAGCCAUGCCGCGUGUGUGAAGAAGGCCUUCGGGUUGUAAAGCACUUUCGGCCGGAACGAAAUCGCGCGGGUGAAUAUCCCGCGUGGAUGACGGUACCGGAAGAAGAAGCACCGGCUAACUACGUGCCAGCAGCCGCGGUAAUACGUAGGGUGCGAGCGUUAAUCGGAAUUACUGGGCGUAAAGUGUGCGCAGGUGGCCGCGCAUGUCGAGUGUGAAAUCCCCGGGCUUAACUUGGGAAUUGCGCUCGAAACUACGUGGCUCGAGUGUGGCAGAGGAAGGUGGAAUUCCAGGUGUAGCGGUGAAAUGCGUAGAGAUCUGGAGGAACACCGAUGGCGAAGGCAGCCUUCUGGGCCAACACUGACGCUCAUGCACGAAAGCGUGGGGAGCAAACAGGAUUAGAUACCCUGGUA